Molecule: ribosomal RNA, 251 nt
Filed under: uncultured Rhodoferax sp.
Lineage: Bacteria; Pseudomonadati; Pseudomonadota; Betaproteobacteria; Burkholderiales; Comamonadaceae
Description: partial 16S ribosomal RNA
Rfam family: Bacterial small subunit ribosomal RNA
Source: RNAcentral
UUGGGCACUCUAAUGAGACUGCCGGUGACAAGCCGGAGGAAGGUGGGGAUGACGUCAAGUCCUCAUGGCCCUUAUAGGUGGGGCUACACGCGUCAUACAAUGGCUGGUACAAAGGGUUGCCAACCCGCGAGGGGAGCCAAUCCCAUAGAGCCAGUCGUAGUCCGGAUCGUAGUCUGCAACUCGACUACGUGAAGUCGGAAUCGCUAGUAAUCGUGGAUCAGAAUGUCACGGUGAAUACGUUCCCGGGUCUU